RNAcentral lists this ribosomal RNA (206 nucleotides) under Freyana anatina. RNAcentral's name for it is "partial 16S ribosomal RNA". Lineage: Eukaryota; Metazoa; Arthropoda; Arachnida; Sarcoptiformes; Freyanidae. The record is from RNAcentral.
UAUGAAUGAAUUAACUAAGAUUUUAUUAAUUUUUAUUUUGAAUUUAUAGUUUUCGUUGAAAAUACCAAAAUUUUCUUUAAGACUAAAAGACCCUAAAAUUUUUAUAAUUAAAAAUAUUAUUUGGUUGGGGCAAUAAUUUUAUAUAAUAAAAGUAAAUUUUAUUAUUUAAGAACUUUUAAUAAAGAAAUAGUAAAAAUACUCUAGGG